GUUUUGGUUAAUGGGUUCUGUAAGAAUGGGAUGGUUCUUGAGGCUUUGAAGGUUUUGAGGGCCAUGCUGAGUACGAAUAUCGUGCCGGGAUGUGGUCUGAAGAAGUGGGUUUAUAAGGUUUUGUUGAGGGAGGCUAGGAUUAAGGAGGCAGUGGAGUUGAAUGAGGCUUUGGGUUGUGUAGGGGAUAGAGAGAAAGGUGAUGAAUCAGAGUGUGUGAAGAAGGUUUUGGCUUUGUUGGAUCACAUGAUUGGCAAUUGGGCAGAAUAGAGCAGUGAUGCAGGAGCAUAUGGGUGGAUCAAGAUAGAUAUUUACCAUUUAAUUAGUUAUUUCAUGAUAUAUUGGUAUUUUCUUAUUUAGGUAGUUUUAGGAUAACUUUUAUUAUUUAGGUGUGAUUUUAUAAUUAAUUAGUUUACUUUUGGACCAAGUAGCCUUGGUGCCCAAGUCUUGUAAAGCCUAUAAAUAAGGCUAAUGUAAUAGUUGUAGGGGAGUUUAUGUUGAUGAUUAAUGAAAUAGUUUAUUUGUGGCAUGGAUUUGCUACGUAAUAUGUGAGUUUGCACUAGCCCUAGAUUUCGGUGCUCGUGUGUGUGGUUGGUGACCUAUGUCCGGACUCCGAUCCCCAUCAUCUAGUAGACUUGAUACCAUUUUGCUUGAUGUUUAUUUUUUUAGGUCAAACAUCUUGCUUGAUUUCAAUUUUCAAGUAAAGACCACUGUUAUUACUGUUAAAGAGAGUAGCUUUCUACAGAGAACAGGUGUUUUCUUUAAAUUGGUAACAUGAUUCAUGCAUUCUUAAACUCUAGGUCUGUAUCAUCACUGGCCUUCUUCUAUGUAGUAAGCAUUAUAUUUAGGUCAUACUAAAUUAAAAAAUAUGGCCAAUCUCUUUUAGCGGGUAUGCAAUUGUGAGUUGUAUUUUAAAUUGUUUAUUAAGUUGUAAGUCAGCAAGUCUCAUGCACUACUUGAGCCUGUUUAAUUGUGUUUGUUUGAUCUUUUCAUUGAUGCUAGUAUUUCUGUAACUGGCUCUUGGAAAGGUGUAAGGUGCCGCACUUUUGUGAAGAUUGCUGUUUACUACUGCAUGAUGUUUGGGGAUCUGCUGUUGCUAUUACAUGUUCCAUAGCUAAGGGCUUCAGAGCUGUAAACUGCAUUCUGCACAGGGUCUGGCCGUUAUAGUCCUGCAUUCUGCAUAGGGUCUGGCUGUUAUAAUCGUGCAUUCUGUACAGUGUCUGUCCUUUCGUAUGCCAUUUUCAUCUUCUGUUUUAGAGGCAGUUGAGCAGAAAAGAUUGCCUUAGUGCGUUUUUGAAAUGGUGAUUGUUGCUGAGUACCAGCAGGGUAGAAGCAUGGCACUGAGACGUGAAGAAAUCACAGAUAGCAUCAUGCCUAUGGCACAUUGGGUUUUGUUGUGCUCCCAUUCUUUGACGGAGGCCUCUGUUUGAGUGGACCUGUGGCUGAGUCUUUCUACAAUCAAUUGUAACCGAAAAAGAAGAAAAGCCUCAGAGAACUUCCUAGGUCCUAGGAU
Prunus avium (sweet cherry) is the source of this 1510-nucleotide non-coding RNA. The record is from RefSeq and is a predicted model, not a curated record. NCBI's taxonomy places the organism in Eukaryota, Viridiplantae, Streptophyta, Magnoliopsida, Rosales, Rosaceae.